GAUGAACGCUGGCGGCGUGCCUAAUACAUGCAAGUCGAGCGAACAGACGAGGAGCUUGCUCCUCUGACGUUAGCGGCGGACGGGUGAGUAACACGUGGAUAACCUACCUAUAAGACUGGGAUAACUUCGGGAAACCGGAGCUAAUACCGGAUAAUAUAUUGAACCGCAUGGUUCAAUAGUGAAAGACGGUUUUGCUGUCACUUAUAGAUGGAUCCGCGCCGCAUUAGCUAGUUGGUAAGGUAACGGCUUACCAAGGCAACGAUGCGUAGCCGACCUGAGAGGGUGAUCGGCCACACUGGAACUGAGCCACGGUCCAGACUCCUGCGGGAGGCAGCAGUAGGGAAUCUUCCGCAAUGGGCGAAAGCCUGACGGAGCAACGCCGCGUGAGUGAUGAAGGUCUUCGGAUCGUAAAACUCUGUUAUUAGGGAAGAACAAAUGUGUAAGUAACUAUGCACGGCUUGACGGUACCUAAUCAGAAAGCCACGGCUAACUACGUG
Molecule: ribosomal RNA, 497 nt
Filed under: uncultured bacterium
Lineage: Bacteria
Description: partial 16S ribosomal RNA
Rfam family: Bacterial small subunit ribosomal RNA
Source: RNAcentral